Molecule: long non-coding RNA, 475 nt
Filed under: Homo sapiens (human)
Lineage: Eukaryota; Metazoa; Chordata; Mammalia; Primates; Hominidae
Description: HSALNT0270859
Source: RNAcentral
CUUCAGUACAUAAAUGGGGCUGAAGAAGAGUCAGGCUGUUCCAGGUUCUUCUGUGUCUGCUCACCGAGCUGCUCCGAGCCCGGCUUAGAGGACCAGGACAGACUGGAGGCUGUAGCCUGCUGCACCGUGGCUGGCCUCCCUGCAGUUGGUGGCGACAGACACUGUAGUGUGGCUGGAAAGUUUGCUGAGCAGAGAGGCCCAGAUUUUUCCAAUGUGACUUGGGGCAAAUUAACCUGGCUGGUCAGCUCAAGAGACAGAGAUUAAGCCGCACUACAGCCAGGUACUGUUUCCAAGAAACUCAAGACUCCUUCCUCUGGCCCUGUGCACAGAGACAGCUGAGGAUAAGACACCACCUUUACUUUAAGGGCACAAGACGCGCAGAAAUGAACAGGUAGCAUUCCGUGGGAAGAAAUAUCCUCAGGACGUGUGUGUGUGUGUGUGUCUAAGUCUCCUGUGUGUGUAUGCGUGUGUGUGU